This 294-nucleotide long non-coding RNA is filed under the name Mytilus galloprovincialis (Mediterranean mussel). The record is from RNAcentral. Lineage: Eukaryota; Metazoa; Mollusca; Bivalvia; Mytilida; Mytilidae.
GUUGUUGGAUCGUAUCACAAUUCAUAAUUUCAAUAAAUUUUUCGUCCAUACUAAUAUUUUGAAAGUUAAGCAAUAUGUUUUGAAGCUUCAUAAAAAAUUUCAAAUCUUAAAUCACUGUACAAGUCACAUGUCAUUAGAAAAUGUUUUUUCGGUUUCAACUUCGCUUAAAUUACAGAAUUGACAAAGUCUGUUUUGAACCGGUACUGGCGGCCUGGAGUAACGUCCUGUUUCAAGCGCUAACGGUAACGAACCCGCGCGGAACAUAGCCAUAAGUCUUCUUUGCGAACUAGUUAA